CCAAAGUAGAAGAAGAGGAACCAGAAAAGGCAGGGAGUUGGCAGACAUAAUCCUUAAGAUAGGAAGGAGGAUUAUGCUGUCUAGUGGACUUUCUAGAAGCAGGAAGAGUGUGUGAAGAAGGUAAAAUAGGGGGAGAGAUAUCAGGAUUGAAGGAAGGAAAGGAAGAUGGAGCAGCAUCAGUAAAAUCAGGAACAGGAGAAUCAGAUGUUGGAGCAGAUGUAGGGGAAGGAGGGGAGGAAGCAUGUAUAGGAAAAUCCAUGUCAGUGAAAUGCUCAACAGGAGGAAUAGAAGGAAAGGAUGAAGGAGAAGGGUGAACAGAAGAAGCUUUAUUCUUAAAAGGAAAACAAGUUUCAUGGAAUAGAACAUCCCUGGAGACAAAACAUUUCUUGGAAACCAGAUCAUACAGUUUAUAACCCUUUUUGGCAAAGGGGUAACCCAGAAAAACACAAGAGAGGGCUCUAAGGAACAGGAGAAUCAGAUGUUGGAGCAGAUGUAGGGGAAGGAGGGGAGGAAACAUGUAUAGGAAAAUUUGUGUCAGUGGAAUGCUCGGCUGGAGGAGUAGAAGGAAAGGAUGAAGGAGAAGGGUGAACAGAAGAAGGUUUAUUCUUAAAAGGAAAGCAAGUUUUAUGGAAUAGAACAUCCCUGGAGACAAAAUAUUUCUUGGAAACCAGAUCAUACAGUUUAUAACCCUUUUUGGCAAAGGGGUAACCCAGAAAAACACAAGAGAGGGUUCUAGGCUUUAACUUGUCCCUUUGAUGAAUAGGGACAGCAGCAUAAGCGAGGCACCCAAAUGCCCUCAAAUGAGAAUAACAUGGAGCUUUCCCAUACAAAAGUUCAUGCUAUAGGUUUUAACUUGUCCCUGUGAGGAAUAGGGACAACAGCAUAAGCAAGGCACCCAAAUGUCCUCAAAUGAGAAUAAGGUGGAGCUUUCCCAUACAAAAGUUCAUGAGGAGAUUUAUUGUGAAGAAUUCUGGAUGGUAUUCUGUUAAGGAGAUAAGUAGUAGUCAACAGACAAUCCCCCCAGAAAGACACAGGUAGGCCAGAUUGAAAAAGUAAGGCUCUACAUGUUUCAAGAAGGGUUCUG
Molecule: long non-coding RNA, 1084 nt
Filed under: Nicotiana benthamiana
Lineage: Eukaryota; Viridiplantae; Streptophyta; Magnoliopsida; Solanales; Solanaceae
Description: long non-coding RNA (NBEN_LNC018780)
Source: RNAcentral